Molecule: non-coding RNA, 3371 nt
Organism: Ostertagia ostertagi
Lineage: Eukaryota; Metazoa; Nematoda; Chromadorea; Rhabditida; Trichostrongylidae
Source: the annotation of a GenBank genome assembly
AGCUUCAGCGAUGGAUCGUCGAUUCGCGUAUCGAUGAAAAACGCAGCUAGCUGCGUUAUUUUACACGAAUUGCAGACGCUUAGAGUGUAAAAUUUUGAACGCAUAGCGCCGUUGGGUUUUCCCUUCGGCACGUCUGGUUUCAUGUUUGUUAAUGAAACGACUACAGUGGGCUAGUUCAUAACACUGUUUGUCGAAUGGUAUUUAUUACUUUAUUGUGAUAUUCCCAUUCCAUUCAAGAAUAUGAAAUACAACAUGACGUUAACAUUGUUAACGUUACUGAAUGAUACUGAAUAUAUUACCACUAUUUGAAUGUACUCAAUGAAUAUGAGAUUGAUUCAAAUAGGGACAUGUAUGGUAUUGUAUAUCAAUGUAUCAUUUAUAUAUUGCACACCUGAACUCAGGCGUGAUUACCCGCUGAACUUAAGCAUAUCAUUUAGCGGAGGAAAAGAAACUAACAAGGAUUCCCUUAGUAACGGCGAGUGAACGGGGAGAAGCCCAGCGCUGAAUCUUACAGUGUUACACUGUUAAGAAAUGUAUCGUAUAGAUAUAAUUUUCAGUUUGUGCUACAUGUCCAAAGUCCCUUUGAUAGGGCCACAAUCCUGAGAGGGUGCGAGACCUGUGCGGACAGUGGAGCAAGCUGUACGAUUAUAAUCUUAGAGUCGGGUUGCUUGAAGUGCAGCCUAAAGUGGGUGAUAAACUUCAUCUAAGGCUAAAUAUAGACGCGAAUUCGAUAGCAAACAAGUACUGUGAAGGAAAGUUGCAAAGAACUUUGAAGAGAGAGUUCAAGAGAACGUGAAAUCGCUGGAGUGGAACCGGAAGAGUUGACGUAACCGGGUAACUAAGUUCCUAAUGUCGCUUAAUUGUGACUGCAGGUGAUGUAUGUGCCUAUGUUUCGCUGACAGCAUUGCCUGUGCGUUCUGCCCGUUUGUGUUGCCCACUUCGUGGUGUCUUACUUACGGUUAAGUUUGUCAUGGCUAAUUUUUUAUCCUGCUUGCAGGGUGUCAGUGUGAAAGUCGACCACCUCUCCGACCCGUCUUGAAACACGGACCGAGAGUGUAACUGUACGCGAGUCAAAGGGUGGUUAAACCCUAAGGCUAAUGAAAGUAAAGGUCGGUUAACCGGCUGACAUGGAUCUACUUUUCGAAGUAGCGCACCAUGGCCCUGUCUUGUCUGCAUGCAGAUGGGCAGCGGUAGAGCGUACAGGUUGCGACCCGAAAGAUGUGAACUAUGCCUGAGCAGACGAAGUCAGAGGAAACUUGAUGGAAGUCCGUAUCGGUUCUGACGUGCAAAUCGAUCGAUAGACUUGGGUAUAGGGGCGAAAGACUAAUCGAACCAUCUAGUAGCUGGUUCCCUCCGAAGUUUCCCCCAGGAUAGCUGGAGUUCAUCGCGGUUAUAUCCGGUAAAGCGAAUGAUUAGAGACUUGGGGUCGAAACGACCUCAACCUAUUCUCAAACUUUCAAUGGGUAUGUUGUCUCGGUUUCUUUAUUGAACUGUUGACACGAACGCGAGCUCCCAAGUGGGCCAUUUUUGGUAAGCAGAACUGGCGCUGUGGAUGAACCAAACGUUGGGUUAAGGUGCCUAACUUCUCGCUCAUGAGACCCCAUAAAAGGCGUUGGUAUAUAUGGACAGCAGGACGGGGCCAUGGAAGUCGGUACCCGCUAAGGAGUGUGUAACAACUCACCUGCCGAAUCAACUAGCCCUGAAAAUGGAUGGCGCUUGAGCGAGAGACCUAUACCCAGCCGUUGCUGGCUUGUGCGUUGUCUAUCGCCUGGCCGCAACGAGUAGGAGGACGUGGCGGUUGCGUCGAAGGCUUUGGGCGUGAGCCCAGCUGGAGCUUCCGUCAGUGCAGAUCUCGGUGGUAGUAGCAAAUAUUUAAGUUCGAUCCUUGAAGACUGAAGUGGAGAAGGGUUCCACGUGAACAGUAGUUGAAUGUGGGUCAGUCGAUCCUAAGAUACUGGCUUAUGCCUUGUAUCAUUGAGAGGGAAAAGUUUCUUUCUCUCGAUAUCAAAAGGAAUAGGGUUAAUAUUCCCUAACGCAGACACAGAGAUUGUGACUCAUUGAGUCACUUGCGCGGUAACGCAUUCGAACUUGGUUACGUCGCUCAGAGACCGAGCUAGAGUUCUCCUUCUCUAGUUAAGGAACGGACUCCCUGGAAUCGGUUCAGCCGUAGAUAGGGACGUUGUUUCCGUAAAGCAUCGCGGUUUCUGUGAUGUCUCGUGUUCUCUGGACGGCCCUUGAAAAACCAAGGAAGGCUAUUAAUCUGUGCUGCAUCGUACCGAUAUCCGCAUCAGGUCUCCAAGUGAACAGCCUCUAGUCGAUAGAAUAAUGUAGGUAAGGGAAGUCGGCAAAUUAGAUCCGUAACUUCGGGAAAAAUUGGCUCCAGUGACUGGGUCGGUUGGCCUGUUAACUGAUGCUUGUGCGGUUUCGUCCGUGGCUGGCUGAUGCUUACGCUGAUGCUGGACUAGUGACAAGACUGCCUUGUGACGUUUUCAGGUGUGUGCUUUGUCUUCGGGCUUAGUAUCCUGACCGACCAUCAAAACAGUCGAACUGGAACUGGUACGGACUCGGGGAAUCCGACUGUCUAAUUAAACAGAGAAACAGAUGGUCCUUGCGGACGUUUACUGUCUCUGAUUGUGCCCAGUGCUCUGAACGUUAAUCGAGUAAUUCGAGUAAUCGAGUAAGCNCGGGUAAACGCGGGAGUAACUAUGACUCUCUUAAGGUAGCCAAAUGCCUCGUCAGCUAACUACUGACGCGCAUGGGAAGCGAUUCCAGCUGCCACCUCCGAGAGGUGCUUCCCGGGCAACGUUACACGAGUGUGUAGCGGCCAAGAGCAGCCUUACCUUGGAUAAUAAUAUCCAUUGCAUACCAUGCUCCGUCGAGCAUAGGUAAUGGAAACAAUAGCUAAUUAGCUAUUGCAUUCAUAAAAAGCCUCUUGUAGGCUGGUGUGUCUAGUGCAAAAAGGCAACUGUAGCAGUUGCCACCGCCCGCUUUACAUUUUUUAAUUAUUAAACCACCCAAUAGCGGGCGGUAUAACCUAACGAUCCAAUGCUUGGUUCAAGUGUUGGGUCUCACUAGGGGAAUUAUGCCCCAGUGGCAUAAGAAUAGGAUAUUAAUAAUAAUUAAUAUUUCUCAAUGUUUAAUUUGCAGAUGUCUACUGUAAAGAAAACUAGCAGCAAUGAUGGUGCGGAUAAAUAUGUCGAGGUCGAUAUAGUUUCAUUUAUGAACUGCAUCCGCCCACGGUAAGUCAAUUUAGAUUUACUACAUUAUGGUAAUAGGCUAAUAUUGCACUAUUCCAGAGGACCGAAAUUUUCGGUGAAUAGAAAGAGAAUUAUCAAGCUCGUUGACGAUGCUGCCGCGAAAUCUGUCCAAGA